GCGGGACACGUGGUAUCCUGUCUGAAUAUGGGGGGACCAUCCUCCAAGGCUAAAUACUCCUGACUGACCGAUAGUGAACCAGUACCGUGAGGGAAAGGCGAAAAGAACCCCGGCGAGGGGAGUGAAAAAGAACCUGAAACCGUGUACGUACAAGCAGUGGGAGCCUCUUUUAUGGGGUGACUGCGUACCUUUUGUAUAAUGGGUCAGCGACUUAUAUUCUGUAGCAAGGUUAACCGAAUAGGGGAGCCGAAGGGAAACCGAGUCUUAACUGGGCGUUAAGUUGCAGGGUAUAGACCCGAAACCCGGUGAUCUAGCCAUGGGCAGGUUGAAGGUUGGGUAACACUAACUGGAGGACCGAACCGACUAAUGUUGAAAAAUUAGCGGAUGACUUGUGGCUGGGGGUGAAAGGCCAAUCAAACCGGGAGAUAGCUGGUUCUCCCCGAAAGCUAUUUAGGUAGCGCCUCGUGAAUUCAUCUCCGGGGGUAGAGCACUGUUUCGGCAAGGGGGUCAUCCCGACUUACCAACCCGAUGCAAACUGCGAAUACCGGAGAAUGUUAUCACGGGAGACACACGGCGGGUGCUAACGUCCGUCGUGAAGAGGGAAACAACCCAGACCGCCAGCUAAGGUCCCAAAGUCAUGGUUAAGUGGGAAACGAUGUGGGAAGGCCCAGACAGCCAGGAUGUUGGCUUAGAAGCAGCCAUCAUUUAAAGAAAGCGUAAUAGCUCACUGGUCGAGUCGGCCUGCGCGGAAGAUGUAACGGGGCUAAACCAUGCACCGAAGCUGCGGCAGCGACGCUUAUGCGUUGUUGGGUAGGGGAGCGUUCUGUAAGCCUGUGAAGGUGUACUGUGAGG
Molecule: ribosomal RNA, 852 nt
Filed under: Escherichia coli
Lineage: Bacteria; Pseudomonadati; Pseudomonadota; Gammaproteobacteria; Enterobacterales; Enterobacteriaceae
Description: partial 23S ribosomal RNA
Rfam family: Bacterial large subunit ribosomal RNA
Source: RNAcentral